GCCAGCAGCCUUAACACCCUGCAGCUCUCAAGUGACUACCCACUGAAGCUGAGCAGGGUUGAACCUGGUCAGUACCUGGGUGAGAUACCUCCUGGGAAGCUAUGGUUUCUGCUGGAA
This 117-nucleotide ribosomal RNA is filed under the name Lepisosteus oculatus (spotted gar). Lineage: Eukaryota; Metazoa; Chordata; Actinopteri; Semionotiformes; Lepisosteidae. The record is from RNAcentral.